RNAcentral lists this ribosomal RNA (661 nucleotides) under Salmonella enterica subsp. enterica serovar Enteritidis. RNAcentral describes it as "partial 23S ribosomal RNA". It matches the Rfam family "Bacterial large subunit ribosomal RNA", at positions 580 to 1242 of the family's 2925-position model. Lineage: Bacteria; Pseudomonadati; Pseudomonadota; Gammaproteobacteria; Enterobacterales; Enterobacteriaceae. The record is from RNAcentral.
CAGGUUUACCUGUGUGACUGCGUACCUUUUGUAUAAUGGGUCAGCGACUUAUAUUCUGUAGCAAGGUUAACCGAAUAGGGGAGCCGGAGGGAAACCGAGUCUUAAUUGGGCGUUAAGUUGCAGGGUAUAGACCCGAAACCCGGUGAUCUAGCCAUGGGCAGGUUGAAGGUUGGGUAACACUAACUGGAGGACCGAACCGACUAAUGUUGAAAAAUUAGCGGAUGACCUGUGGCUGGGGGUGAAAGGCCAAUCAAACCGGGAGAUAGCUGGUUCUCCCCGAAAGCUAUUUAGGUAGCGCCUCGUGAAUUCAUCUCCGGGGGUAGAGCACUGUUUCGGCUAGGGGGCCAUCCCGGCUUACCAACCCGAUGCAAACUGCGAAUACCGGAGAAUGUUAUCACGGGAGACACACGGCGGGUGCUAACGUCCGUCGUGAAGAGGGAAACAACCCAGACCGCCAGCUAAGGUCCCAAAGUCAUGGUUAAGUGGGAAACGAUGUGGGAAGGCCCAGACAGCCAGGAUGUUGGCUUAGAAGCAGCCAUCAUUUAAAGAAAGCGUAAUAGCUCACUGGUCGAGUCGGCCUGCGCGGAAGAUGUAACGGGGCUAAACCAUGCACCGAAGCUGCGGCAGCGACACUGUGUGUUGUUGGGUAGGGGAGCGUUCU